RNAcentral lists this ribosomal RNA (376 nucleotides) under Acanthamoeba sp. Ac46. RNAcentral describes it as "SSU rRNA". It matches the Rfam family "Eukaryotic small subunit ribosomal RNA", at positions 755 to 1087 of the family's 1831-position model. Lineage: Eukaryota; Discosea; Longamoebia; Acanthamoebidae. The record is from RNAcentral.
CCGUGAAAAAAUUAGAGUGUUCAAAGCAGGCAGAUCCAAUUUUCUGCCACCGAAUACAUUAGCAUGGGAUAAUGGAAUAGGACCCUGUCCUCCUAUUUUCAGUUGGUUUUGGCAGCGCGAGGACUAGGGUAAUGAUUAAUAGGGAUAGUUGGGGGCAUUAAUAUUUAAUUGUCAGAGGUGAAAUUCUUGGAUUUAUGAAAGAUUAACUUCUGCGAAAGCAUCUGCCAAGGAUGUUUUCAUUAAUCAAGAACGAAAGUUAGGGGAUCGAAGACGAUCAGAUACCGUCGUAGUCUUAACCAUAAACGAUGCCGACCAGCGAUUAGGAGACGUUGAAUACAAAACACCACCAUCGGCGCGGUCGUCCCUGGCUCGUCGU